RNAcentral lists this ribosomal RNA (567 nucleotides) under uncultured Bacteroidota bacterium. RNAcentral describes it as "bacterial SSU rRNA". It matches the Rfam family "Bacterial small subunit ribosomal RNA", at positions 8 to 564 of the family's 1533-position model. The record is from RNAcentral. Lineage: Bacteria; Pseudomonadati; Bacteroidota.
AGAGUUUGAUCCUGGCUCAGGAUGAACGCUAGCGGCAGGCCUAACACAUGCAAGUCGAGGGGCAGCGGGGAAAAGCUUGCUUUUCCGCCGGCGACCGGCGCACGGGUGCGCACCGCGUAUGGAACCUGCCUUGUACAGGGGAAUAGCCCAGGGAAACUUGGAUUAAUGCCCCGUAGUACCGUAUUUCGGCAUCGUUAUACGGUUAAAGCCUUCGGGCGGUACAAGAUGGCCAUGCGUCCCAUUAGCUUGUUGGUAAGGUAACGGCUUACCAAGGCUACGAUGGGUAGGGGCCCUGAGAGGGGGAUCCCCCACACUGGUACUGAGGCACGGACCAGACUCCUACGGGAGGCAGCAGUGAGGAAUAUUGGACAAUGGAGGAGACUCUGAUCCAGCCAUGCCGCGUGCAGGAAGAAUGCCCUAUGGGUAGUAAACUGCUUUUAUACGGGAAGAAAAAGAGCUACGUGUAGCUUACUGACGGUACCGUAAGAAUAAGGACCGGCUAACUCCGUGCCAGCAGCCGCGGUAAUACGGAGGGUCCGAGCGUUAUCCGGAAUUAUUGGGUUUAAA